GAUCCUGGCUCAGAAUCAACGCUGGCGGCGCGCUUAACACAUGCAAGUCGAACGAGAAAGCCCGCAAGGGUGAGUAAAGUGGCGUACGGGUGAGUAACACGUGGGUAAUCUACCUUUUGGUGGGGAAUAACCCUGGGAAACCGGGGCUAAUACCGCAUAAGCUCUGUCAUUUAUAUGGUGGAGGAAAGGAGCAAUUCGCCGAAAGAGGAGCCCGCGGCUGAUUAGCUAGUUGGUGAGGUAAGAGCUCACCAAGGCUAUGAUCGGUAGCCGGCCUGAGAGGGCACACGGCCACACUGGCACUGAAACACGGGCCAGACUCCUACGGGAGGCAGCAGUGGGGAAUCUUGCACAAUGGGGGAAACCCUGAUGCAGCGACGCCGCGUGAGCGAUGAAGCCCUUCGGGGUGUAAAGCUCUUUCGGCAGGGACGAUAAUGACGGUACCCGAAGAAGAAGCUGCGGCUAACUACGUGCCAGCAGCCGCGGUAAUACGUAGGCAGCGAGCGUUGUUCGGAGUUACUGGGCGUAAAGAGUGCGUAGGCGGUUUUCUAAGUUUGGUGUGAAAUCUCCCGGCUUAACUGGGAGGGUGCGUCGAAAACUGGAAGGCUUGAGUAUGGGAGAGGUAAGCGGAAUUCCUGGUGUAGCGGUGAAAUGCGUAGAUAUCAGGAGGAACACCUGCGGUGUAGACGGCUU
Molecule: ribosomal RNA, 690 nt
Filed under: uncultured Acidobacteriota bacterium
Lineage: Bacteria; Pseudomonadati; Acidobacteriota
Description: bacterial SSU rRNA
Rfam family: Bacterial small subunit ribosomal RNA
Source: RNAcentral